RNAcentral lists this long non-coding RNA (531 nucleotides) under Elaeis guineensis (African oil palm). RNAcentral's name for it is "long non-coding RNA (EGUI_LNC061254)". Lineage: Eukaryota; Viridiplantae; Streptophyta; Magnoliopsida; Arecales; Arecaceae. The record is from RNAcentral.
CUCCCUCAUGUUAGGCAUAUGAGCAGUGGCCUUAGUGGCCCUUCUAGGCCCAUCUUUGUUGGACCAGGCCCACAAGGAAACAGGCCCUUGCAUCAAUUCUACACAUGAUGCCUUAAUCAACACCGGUGCAGAGGAAUAAAUGAACCGCAAUCUCAUCAACAACCACCUAACAUGCAGAAGUGCGUCCUGCUUUGAUAGUCAGAUUGCAUAGCACCAGCUAGCCGAAAGAGGAAAAAACGAUCUUUGGGCAAGAAGACUGAAAAGAACAGGAUAAACUAAACAUGAUCAACAGAGGAUGCAGUAGCAUUGUAGAAGCAUCAACCUUCAGAGUAGCUCACUCCAAACAACUUGUACAGGUACCAACCACCAUAUUUAGACAACAAUAUAUCUGACAUAACAAGGCAAGAAAAAGAGCUCACAAUCCCCACCCCACCACCCUUGGGGGAAAAAAAACCAAGAAAAAGAAAAGAAAAAAAAAAAAAAAAAAACAAUAAAACCAACCAACCAACCAGACAUACCCAAAAUGCAUCA